RNAcentral lists this ribosomal RNA (445 nucleotides) under uncultured bacterium. RNAcentral's name for it is "partial 16S ribosomal RNA". It matches the Rfam family "Bacterial small subunit ribosomal RNA", at positions 354 to 796 of the family's 1533-position model. The record is from RNAcentral.
GUGAGGAAUAUUGGUCAAUGGGCGAGAGCCUGAACCAGCCAAGUCGCGUGAAGGAUGAAGGUUUUAUGAAUUGUAAACUUCUUUUGCAGGGGAGUAAAGUACGGUACGUGUACCGUUUUGUAUGUACUCUGCGAAUAAGGAUCGGCUAACUCCGUGCCAGCAGCCGCGGUAAUACGGAGGAUCCGAGCGUUAUCCGGAUUUAUUGGGUUUAAAGGGUGCGUAGGUGGAUUGAUAAGUCAGCGGUGAAAGUUUGCAGCUUAACUGUAAAAUUGCCGUUGAAACUGUCGGUCUUGAGUGCAAAUGAGGUAGGCGGAAUGUGUUGUGUAGCGGUGAAAUGCUUAGAUAUAACACAGAACUCCGAUUGCGAAGGCAGCUUACUGGGAUGCAACUGACACUGAUGCACGAAAGCGUGGGUAUCAAACAGGAUUAGAAACCCCGGUAGUCC